UUUUUCUAUUGAUUUUGGUUAGCUACAUGGGUCUAACCGAGCAAUUUAGCCUCUUAUUUUCUAGGAUUCAGCCUUUUACAUUCUACUUAUUUUUUAUUUUCAGCCAUUUUUUUGCAGCUGAUCCCACCAAUUAGACUGGUCCCACUUAUCAUGCUUAUCUCAAAUUGGUCCCACACAUCAAAAAUUUAGAAAUUUGUCAAACAACCAUUAUAACUUAG
Molecule: long non-coding RNA, 218 nt
Filed under: Hordeum vulgare
Lineage: Eukaryota; Viridiplantae; Streptophyta; Magnoliopsida; Poales; Poaceae
Description: long non-coding RNA (HVUL_LNC016579)
Source: RNAcentral